This 230-nucleotide unclassified non-coding RNA is filed under the name plant metagenome. RNAcentral's name for it is "partial contains small subunit ribosomal RNA, internal transcribed spacer 1, and 5.8S ribosomal RNA". The record is from RNAcentral.
UCUCCGUAGGUGAACCUGCGGAGGGAUCAUCACAGAGUUCUCGCCCUCACGGGUAGAUCUCCCACCCACUGUUAUCGUUACUGUCGUUUCUUUGGCGGGCCGCCGGGUCCCCGGCCGCCGGCGCCUAGCUGCCGGCGCGCGCCCGCCAGAGGCCUUCAAACUCUGAAUGUUAGUGUCGUCUGAGUACUAUAUAAUAGUUAAAACUUUCAACAACGGAUCUCUUGGUUCUG